This is a long non-coding RNA of Nycticebus coucang (slow loris), 787 nucleotides long. RefSeq lists it as uncharacterized. Lineage: Eukaryota; Metazoa; Chordata; Mammalia; Primates; Lorisidae. The record is from RefSeq and is a predicted model, not a curated record. The transcript has 3 exons.
CUGGCCACUCCACAGCCUCCCAGGAGGCGAUCUAGCUCCUGCCGCUCAGCAGCUGUAGGAGGCGGCCGGCCAGGGGACUCAGCAGCUGGCUCUGUGGUUUACUGACUUUUACUGUACUAGCAUGUAAGCUCCAUGAUAGCAAGGACCUCAUUUGUUUGGAAUCCUCACUCUUGGUACAGGGCCUGGCAUGUAGGAGGUGUGCUACACGAAUGAGAGAACCCUGGCCACAGAGGGAACUGCUUCUCUGGCACAUUCCCACACAGGCUGCUCACCGGCGCUGGGAGGGCUGCAGUUCUGUGGCCACCUUGUCCUCACAGAAUUUCCGCAUGGUAAGAAAGAAGAGACACAGACACACAGGGAGGAUGCCGUGUGAUGAUGGAGGCAGAGGCUGGAGCGAUGCCCUGCAAGCCAAGGGACACCCAGGAUUGCUGGCCACCACCAGAAGCCAGGGAGAGGGCAAGGAAGGAGUCUAUCGAGAGUCUCAGAGGGAGUAUGGCCCUGCUGACACCUUGAUCUUGAAUUUCUAGCCUUCAGAACCGUAAGACAAUACAUUUCUACUGUUUUAAGCCAACAGUUUGUGGUACUUUGUUGUGGUAGCCCUAGGACACUAAUACAGAUUAGUUGCUGGGGACUGUGGUAAAGUACAUGUGAUUAAAAGGAAGUGGAAAUGCCAGGCUUACAGCAAAGGGCUCCCAGAACAAACAAGUGGGCUCCAGGGGAGAUGGGUUCAUAAAGGCCCAGCUGGAGAAAGGGCUACUGGGGAAGAGGCUACUCAGGUGCUGGGGAA